UUAGUGGCGGACGGGUGAGUAACGCGUGAGAAUCUGCCCUCAGGAGGGGGAUAACGGUUGGAAACGACCGCUAAUACCCCAUAUGCCGAGAGGUGAAAUGAAUUUCGCCUGAGGAUGAGCUCGCGUCUGAUUAGUUAGUUGGUGGGGUAAUGGCCUACCAAGACAUCGAUCAGUAGCUGGUCUGAGAGUAUGAUCAGCCACACUGGGACUGAGACACGGCCCAGACUCCUACGGGAGGCAGCAGUGGGGAAUUUUCCGCAAUGGGCGAAAGCCUGACGGAGCAACGCCGCGUGAGGGAUGAAGGCCUCUGGGCUGUAAACCUCUUUUAUCAAGGAAGAAGAUCUGACGGUACUUGAUGAAUAAGCCACGGCUAAUUCCGUGCCAGCAGCCGCGGUAAUACGGGAGUGGCAAGCGUUAUCCGGAAUUAUUGGGCGUAAAGCGUCCGCAGGCGGUCUGUCAAGUCUGCUGUUAAAGCGUGGAGCUUAACUCCAUUUCGGCAGUGGAAACUGACAGACUAGAGUGUGGUAGGGGCAGAGGGAAUUCCCGGUGUAGCGGUGAAAUGCGUAGAUACCGGGAAGAACACCAGUGGCGAAGGCGCUCUGCUGGGCCAUAACUGACGCUCAUGGACGAAAGCCAGGGGAGCGAAAGGGAUUAGAUACCCCUGUAGUCCUGGCCGUAAACGAUGAACACUAGGUGUCGGGGGAAUCGACCCCCUCGGUGUCGUAGCCAACGCGUUAAGUGUUCCGCCUGGGGAGUACGCACGCAAGUGUGAAACUCAAAGGAAUUGACGGGGGCCCGCACAAGCGGUGGAGUAUGUGGUUUAAUUCGAUGCAACGCGAAGAACCUUACCAGGGUUUGACAUCCUGCGAAUCUCUUGGAAACGAGAGAGUGCCUUCGGGAACGCAGUGACAGGU
Molecule: ribosomal RNA, 914 nt
Filed under: uncultured bacterium
Lineage: Bacteria
Description: bacterial SSU rRNA
Rfam family: Bacterial small subunit ribosomal RNA
Source: RNAcentral